RNAcentral lists this ribosomal RNA (309 nucleotides) under Acanthodactylus scutellatus (Nidua fringe-fingered lizard). Its description in RNAcentral is "partial 12S ribosomal RNA". It matches the Rfam family "Bacterial small subunit ribosomal RNA", at positions 869 to 1344 of the family's 1533-position model. Lineage: Eukaryota; Metazoa; Chordata; Lepidosauria; Squamata; Lacertidae. The record is from RNAcentral.
CCGCCAGAGAACUACUAGUGAAAAACUUAAAACUCAAAGGACUUGGCGGUGUCCCACCUCGGCCUAGAGGAGCCUGUCCUAUAAUCGAUACUCCCCGUUCAACCCAACCUAAACUAGCAUACUCAGCCUAUAUACCGCCGUCGACAGUCUACCCCAUGAGAGCACAACAGUAGACACAAUAGUUUCUGCCACUAAAACGUCAGGUCAAGGUGUAGCAAAUGUUGAGGAAAGUGAUUGGCUACAUUUUUUAAAUAAAACAAACGAAAUGCAACAUGAAAUCAUGCACGAAGGUGAAUUUAGCAGUAAGAU